This 816-nucleotide long non-coding RNA is filed under the name Panax ginseng (ginseng). Its description in RNAcentral is "long non-coding RNA (PGIN_LNC009745)". The record is from RNAcentral. Lineage: Eukaryota; Viridiplantae; Streptophyta; Magnoliopsida; Apiales; Araliaceae.
GAUAAUACCACCAUGCCUAUAUAUGACUUGAAUGUUCCCAAGUCCCAACUUCCCAUAUGCAUAAAUAUUAAAUCCUCCUUUUUCUUGGGAUUUAAAUCUCUCACAGGCCAUGAUCAAAUUCACCAAAAAGCCAACACAGGCCCAAGAAUCCACAACCUAUUAAAAGUGGUAGACUCACCACGGAGCUCCAGCUAGACCCCGAAAAAUAUGGGUCAACUGGAUAUAGAUUUCCUGGUGGACCGGGUAAGUAAAUAUUAAAUGGCGGAGGAGGGCAGUUCAGGCUUGGCGUUGGCGGCUUCUUGGGUGGCGGAGGCGGUGGAGGAGGACUUUGGUUACACGGGUUGUUGCAAGCCGGGCAACUGCCGCACUUGACUUCAGUGUUAGGUGGGGCGGGGGCUUCGUCUAGCUUUCUUGGUUGCAAUCCGUCUAUCACAGCUGCAACAGCAAGGAUAAUGAGGAAAGUUGCUAAAUAUGACAUCUUAAUUUUAUGCGGAGUUUAUUCAAGUCUCUUAGAAAGGUUGAUUGAUAUAUAUAUAUAUAUAUUCAAGUCUCUUAGAAAGGUUGAUUGAGAUAUGUAGUUAUGUAUGUGGUAUGUAUAAGUUUGGUGGUGUGAGGUGGGUUUGGAGUGAGAAAAAAGAAGAAGAAAGUGUAGGGGGGAUUGAUUCGAUUGAUUGAAUGCGUUAUUAGGUGGAGCGUGGAAAAUGAAGAAGAGCGUUGCUUAUUUGAAGCAAAGUAAAAAGUAAAGUGAUGGAGGUUUACUCUUUUAUAUAUGCCUGAAAAUUAUAUUGAAACAAUUUAUUGAUCAAUAUGUUGAGG